UACUAAAAAAUAAUAAUAUUUAGUGCACAAUCUUUGCACCCACUUUUUAAAGUAAGUUUUACAUGGAAUUUUAAGCAGUUUAAGCAUUUGCAAAUUUUAAAGUAAGCUUUACAUGGAGUUUUAAGCAGUUUAGGCUAAAAAAAAAAUUAAGCAAUUGCUUAAAAUUACAUGUGAAACUUGCUUAAAAAGAGGGACGCAAAAAUGAUGCACUAUAUUUUUUAGUAAAUCGAGCUAAUUAUUUUUAACACUGUAAAAUGAUUUUAAUUCUCAGUAAAUAUAGCUUCAAAAUACAAGCAGAUUUUACUAAUAAAUUUAAGUAAAAAUUGAUUCCUGUCCUUAGCAAAUAUAGCUAAAAUAAAUGUAAAGAAUUUGCUCAUUAAUUUGAGUUUUGCACAUUACUUGAAUUAUGGCUAUAAUCAUUACUAAAUAUACUGAGCUUUUGGUUUACUUAUAAAAAUUGUUAACACUAUAAGCAAUUUUGAGCAAAGUCAAGAGUCACGUGACGCAGAUCGGGAGCCUGCGCAGCAGCCAUUUUAAACGGUGGUGUUACUGUUAAGACCUCUUCAGGAAUUAAGUUUGUUUCCGACGGACGCCACGGACCAUUAAACAGUUGCCACUGACCUGAGCUGUGACAGACAGCUGAGCUCUCUGAUAUCGUUCAUGUUGUGCGUUCAUGUCAAAUAUAGGGGGCGCACCAGAUGACACUCCAUGUGAGGCUGAAAUAGUUCUGGAAUGGUGUUCAGGUUCUGUGAGGAUUGUCCAGUCUCACCAAAGCGUGCAUUUCCUUGUUUGGCCGAAUAUAUUGUCUUGAUCUUAAGACUUGGGUACACUUUUAAAUUCUUUAAAAAAUACUGCUGCACUUAGACAGUGCAAAACUGUCUCAGAAGAUUUUAACAUUAAAAAAUAAACUGAGUGUUGCGUUAAUUUUCUAAACACAUUCAUACACCACACUCAGACACACGUGUACAACACAAAUGUAGUAGCAUGUUAAUUAAUGUUAUUGUUACAACAUUUACUUGUUGUUUACUUAUUUUUAAAUGAAUCUCUUGCCCUGUUAGCAACAUACGGCAUACAACCAUAGACAUUACAUGCUGAUUCAUGUUAUUGUUAUGAAAUGUGUUGUUUAAUUUUUUAUGAAUUUUUAUGCCUUGUAGCAACAUAUUAUGCACUAUAUUUUUAAGUUAAUCCAGCCUUUUUUAGUGGAUGUUGUUUGCAUCCACUUUUUAAAUGAAGUUUCACAUGGAAUGUUAAGCAAUUUAUGCAAUUGCUUAAAAUUUAAUGUAAAACUUCCUUUAAAAAAGGGAUGCAAAAAUAAUUCACCAGAUUUUUAAGUCAAUCCAGUGUUUUUUUUUACAGCCUUGUUUCUAUGAUUUUUUUUAACUUAAUCAAAAAUGUUCAAAACAAUAGAUGUUGUAUUUAAAAAAGUUCUACAAAUAAAAAAACUUUUAUUUUUAUUGUCCUGUGUCUUCUUGUAGUUAAUGUAUUAUAAAUUAGAUGUAAAUGAUAAGUUGUAAUGGUAUAAACAAGACUUUAAUGGUAGACAUAACUUAAAAUACAGU
Molecule: non-coding RNA, 1559 nt
Organism: Misgurnus anguillicaudatus (oriental weatherfish)
Lineage: Eukaryota; Metazoa; Chordata; Actinopteri; Cypriniformes; Cobitidae
Source: RefSeq, a predicted model, not a curated record